Rosa rugosa (rugosa rose) is the source of this 422-nucleotide long non-coding RNA. RefSeq lists it as uncharacterized. Lineage: Eukaryota; Viridiplantae; Streptophyta; Magnoliopsida; Rosales; Rosaceae. The record is from RefSeq and is a predicted model, not a curated record. The transcript is spliced from 3 exons.
ACUUGACUGUUACCGCCAAGUGAUGCUUCCCACUCAGUAGAGGUUGUCACAAUUUGUGAGAGCAGCACAACAAUCUCUCUCAUCUCUGGCCUUCCCACUGCUUCUUCACUCAAACACCACUCUGAUAUUUCUGCCAUCUGCAACACUCAUCAAAUUUCACAUCUAUAUCAGAGACUGAUAGCUCAAAGGCUCCCGGUUGUCACGGAACAGUGCAAGUUGCCCUGUAAUCAGUUCUCCAAGUACCACUCCAAAUGCAAAUACAUCAGUCUUGUGAGUCACCUGGAGCUCCUGCACAGAUCUUUCACAAUAAACAUAUAAAUAUCCAGUGCAAUUUGUGUUCUUGCAGUCCAGGAGAGAGGCUGAUGACCUGAUUUAACAUUCUAGUGUUCUUUAGGAAUGCAGUACAGGUACUUAAGGAUCUC